This 170-nucleotide ribosomal RNA is filed under the name Sphaerulina rhododendricola. RNAcentral describes it as "partial 18S ribosomal RNA". It matches the Rfam family "Eukaryotic small subunit ribosomal RNA", at positions 1664 to 1831 of the family's 1831-position model. Lineage: Eukaryota; Fungi; Ascomycota; Dothideomycetes; Mycosphaerellales; Mycosphaerellaceae. The record is from RNAcentral.
ACACACCGCCCGUCGCUACUACCGAUUGAAUGGCUCAGUGAGGCCUUCGGACUGGCCCAGGGAGGUCGGCAACGACCACCCAGGGCCGGAAAGUUGGUCAAACUCGGUCAUUUAGAGGAAGUAAAAGUCGUAACAAGGUCUCCGUAGGUGAACCUGCGGAGGGAUCAUUA